This 132-nucleotide small RNA is filed under the name Escherichia coli. RNAcentral describes it as "RtT sRNA". It matches the Rfam family "RtT RNA". Rfam says of the family: This family represents a bacterial cis-regulatory element known as RtT RNA. The exact function of RtT is unknown although it is thought that it may be involved in changing the cellular response in relation to amino acid starvation. Lineage: Bacteria; Pseudomonadati; Pseudomonadota; Gammaproteobacteria; Enterobacterales; Enterobacteriaceae. The record is from RNAcentral.
GUUUGCACUCAUCGGGGAAGGGUGAGAACCUUCGACUAAGGUUCAAUUCGAGCGAAAGCGAGAGAACGUUGCCACAGGCAACGGCCCGAAGGGUGAGGAGCGAAGCGACGAAUAAUCCUUCCCCCACCACCA